This 675-nucleotide ribosomal RNA is filed under the name Salmonella enterica subsp. enterica serovar Senftenberg. RNAcentral describes it as "bacterial SSU rRNA". It matches the Rfam family "Bacterial small subunit ribosomal RNA", at positions 870 to 1533 of the family's 1533-position model. Lineage: Bacteria; Pseudomonadati; Pseudomonadota; Gammaproteobacteria; Enterobacterales; Enterobacteriaceae. The record is from RNAcentral.
CGCCUGGGGAGUACGGCCGCAAGGUUAAAACUCAAAUGAAUUGACGGGGGCCCGCACAAGCGGUGGAGCAUGUGGUUUAAUUCGAUGCAACGCGAAGAACCUUACCUGGUCUUGACAUCCACGGAAGAAUUCAGAGAUGGAUUUGUGCCUUCGGGAACCGUGAGACAGGUGCUGCAUGGCUGUCGUCAGCUCGUGUUGUGAAAUGUUGGGUUAAGUCCCGCAACGAGCGCAACCCUUAUCCUUUGUUGCCAGCGGUCCGGCCGGGAACUCAAAGGAGACUGCCAGUGAUAAACUGGAGGAAGGUGGGGAUGACGUCAAGUCAUCAUGGCCCUUACGACCAGGGCUACACACGUGCUACAAUGGCGCAUACAAAGAGAAGCGACCUCGCGAGAGCAAGCGGACCUCAUAAAGUGCGUCGUAGUCCGGAUUGGAGUCUGCAACUCGACUCCAUGAAGUCGGAAUCGCUAGUAAUCGUGGAUCAGAAUGCCACGGUGAAUACGUUCCCGGGCCUUGUACACACCGCCCGUCACACCAUGGGAGUGGGUUGCAAAAGAAGUAGGUAGCUUAACCUUCGGGAGGGCGCUUACCACUUUGUGAUUCAUGACUGGGGUGAAGUCGUAACAAGGUAACCGUAGGGGAACCUGCGGUUGGAUCACCUCCUUACCUGAAAGAAGC